This is a long non-coding RNA of Spinacia oleracea (spinach), 749 nucleotides long. RefSeq lists it as uncharacterized. The record is from RefSeq and is a predicted model, not a curated record. NCBI's taxonomy places the organism in Eukaryota, Viridiplantae, Streptophyta, Magnoliopsida, Caryophyllales, Amaranthaceae. The transcript has 2 exons.
GCUAAUGUAACGGUGUCUUGUAUAAGAUUUGAGAAAUUCGGGCUAAUGCAACGGUAGUUGUCAGCCGUUGCAAUAGAUGGUCAAAUGCGACGGUAUAUUAGGCUAGUGCGACGGUAUAUUAGGCUAAUGUAACGGGUAUGCUAUUUUACUUUUUUUUCCCUCCUAUUUUACUUUUUUCCCCAAAAUCUUAAAGCCUGGCCACACACUUAAUUUACGGUAAAAAAAAAUAAAAAAAAUUAAAACACACAAGCAAACAUUGCCAAAAGAAAAUCUCCAAUUUUCUAGGAGAAAGACUUGAGAGAAAAUAGGAUCGAGUUUUAGGGUUUCAUCAAAAUUUUGGCAAAUUCUAACUAUUUGGUCUGGAAUUCGCAAUUAGGUUCGAGAUUAAUCGAAUUUCUUGGGCUGCGACAUUCUCUCACGCCGCUUGAUUGCUGUUCAUCGAGCAGGAGGGUUGAAUUGGGCUUCGCAUAAUAGUCCGAACAAGUUAUUCACGGAGCAUGGUGAGCUAAAUGGAGAAGAAAUGUAGAUCUAGCAACCUAGCUAAAGGUGGAGGCUCUUAUUGGUUUUGGGUCGUUUUGUAAUUCCUAGUAACGUUGAAUUUGUUUCUAUGGAUUUUAAUUUUAUGUACUUUUGUCAUUAAAAACACAAAAUUAACUAGUGAACAACUAUUUUGUAAUGCAUGUGUCCUAUGGGCACUAAUAUUGUAAUAUUACUUUUCAAGUCAAUGAAAAUCUUUUAUUAUAUAUGAA